RNAcentral lists this ribosomal RNA (1465 nucleotides) under metagenome. Its description in RNAcentral is "bacterial SSU rRNA". It matches the Rfam family "Bacterial small subunit ribosomal RNA". The record is from RNAcentral.
AAGUCGAACGGGGGGUUUGAUGUAGUAAUACAUCUGGCCUCUAGUGGCGGACGGGUGAGUAUCACGUGAGCAACGCGCCCGGAAGAGCGGAAUAACCCAGGGAAACUUGGAUUAAUGCCGCAUGUGACCUGGUGGGACAUCCCACUUCGGUUAAAGGUGGGGAUCGUAAGACCUGCCGCUUCCGGAUCGGCUCGCGGCCUAUCAGCUUGUUGGUGAGGUAACGGCUCACCAAGGCUACGACGGGUACCUGGUUUUAGAGAACGAUCAGGCACACUGGGACUGAGACACGGCCCAGACACCUACGGGUGGCAGCAGUCGAGGAUCAUGCACAAUGGGGGAAACCCUGAUGCUGCGACGCCGCGUGGAGGAUGAAGGUCUUCGGAUUGUAAACUCCUGUCAUCAAUGAGUAUGCUUCAGCCGGUGAAUAUCCGGCUGGGGUGACAGUAAUUGAAGAGGAAGGGACGGCUAACUUCGUGCCAGCAGCCGCGGUAAUACGAAGGUCCCAAGCGUUAUUCGGAAUCACUGGGCGUAAAGGGUGCGUAGGUGUGAGGAAAGUCAGAUGUGAAAGCCCUGGGCUCAACCUAGGAACUGCAUCCGAUACUCCCUCACUAGAGGAUUGGAGAGGAGUCUGGAAUUCACGGUGUAGCAGUGAAAUGCGUAGAUAUCGUGAGGAACACUCGUGGCGAAACGAGACUCUGGACAAUUCCUGACACUGAUGCACGAAGGCCGGGGGAGCGAACAGGAUUAGAUACCCUGGUAGUCCCGGCAGUAAACGGUGCACGUUUGGUAUGGGGGGGCUGGACCCCCUCCGUGCCGGAGCUAACGCGUUAAACGUGCCGCCUGGGAAGUACGGUCGCAAGAUUAAAACUCAAAGAAAUUGACGGGGACCCGCACAAGCGGUGGAGUAUGUGGCUUAAUUCGAUGCAACGCGAAGAACCUUACCUGGGCUUGACAUGCAAUUGCAAGCCGGCCGAAAGGCUGGCCGCCUUCGAGGGUAUUGCACAGGUGCUGCAUGGCUGUCGUCAGCUCGUGUCGUGAGAUGUUGGGUUAAGUCCCGCAACGAGCGCAACCCCUGUGAUUAGUUGCCACACGUAAUGGUGGGAACUCUAAUCAGACUGCCCAGAUCAACUGGGAGGAAGGUGGGUAUGACGUCAAGUCCGUAUGGCCUUUAUGCCCAGGGCUGCACACGUACUACAAUGCCCAGCCUAAUGAGAACCGAGACCGCGAGGUGGAGGAAAUCUAUAAAACUGGGCCCAGUUCGGAUCGCAGGCUGCAACUCGCCUGCGUGAAGCCGGAAUCGCUAGUAACGGCGCAUCAGCUACGGCGCCGUGAAUACGUUCCCGGGUCUUGUACACACCGCCCGUCACAUCAUGGAAGCCGGUCGCACCCGAAGUGCGUGCCCUAACCGUAAGGAAGGAGCGCCCUAAGGUGAGACUGGUAACUGGGAUGAAGUCGGAACAAGGUA